GGGGCCCCGGGAGCCCCGCACGGGCCAGGCGGCGACAUGGGCCGGGAUUUCCGUGCGGCCUCUGUCUGCACCCCACGCCGGGCUGUUCCAGCGGUCAUUUUAUAUGUACACGGAUUGUAGAUACAGAUUCUUUAGCUCUUAAGGUGGCUCUAAAAGGAGAAUUGCUUGUAUGAGGCUGAUCCUGAGACCAUUUCGGAGGACAUUUACUUGGACCAGCCAUUUUUAAAUAGAGAUGCUCAUGUACAGAAUCAGGGAGACAACCCAGCCAAACCAACGUGCGGCACAGAAUCAGAAAUCUACCUUUAUUCAACAAGAAGUACAGUAAAUACAUCCAGGGAAUCGGAUCCGGGCUUCUUCCCAAACUAGAAACAGACAUUUCCCCACAUGCUGGCCCCUCAUGCUCCAGCCUGUCGCCUCCAAGCCAAGUUGGGACCUUUCUGGCUCUCACCAACAGUUACAGUUUAGAGCCCGCUAUCAGAAAUGAGUUAACAAGCCUUCUGGUGGGCAAGCCACCGCAGGGCCAGCUCACCUUCCUGGAAACAGAUGGGGGUGGCUGGACUGUAAGGGGCACAGGAACCGCCUCCCUGGAUCAGAACAGUGGUCUUCUUCAUCCAGUCUUGUUCCCAGCAAUGGCCAGCAGCAGAAGUUUAAAAAAAAAGGUGCAAGAAAUGUGUCAGGAGGCAGUCGUGGCACAGAGGACGGCCUUUGCUCUGCAGCUGAGGUCUGAUGUUCUUCGUGAAACUCUCGGCAGGUUUUUUUAGGGACUUGACUGUCACAGGCUGAGAGAGUCUUGCUAUCUCUGAGUCCUGCUUAAGUCUUGCCCUCAAUGAUGUCUUUGUUGCAAUUAAUUC
This is a long non-coding RNA of Alligator sinensis (Chinese alligator), 851 nucleotides long. RefSeq lists it as uncharacterized. NCBI's taxonomy places the organism in Eukaryota, Metazoa, Chordata, Crocodylia, Alligatoridae. The record is from RefSeq and is a predicted model, not a curated record. The transcript has 3 exons.